GGUAAAAUUAUCACCAAAUCCCCAAAAAACGAUUCUAAUCAUAUUCCAAGCCAAAACCCUUCCCCAAAAUCAUAUCUCCCUUCAUUCAUUUACAAGAAAAUCUCAAUCCAUAAUCAUCAUUUUGAUCUUCCACACAUUAUCCGCAAAAUGUAAUCACCAGAAUAUCACCCAAAUCAACCAUUUGAUUUGUACUUUCAGUUGUUACUAUAAAACCCCAAUCUACGUAGAAAAUAUCAAAAUCUCCUUGUUAAAAUGUAUACCAUGGCUGCUGAUACAAACACAUCUUCAUUGGGAUAUGUAUGGCUUGUGAGAAAUGUCAAAGAGACUCCAGUCGCAGCCGACCAGCAAUGACGUUUGUCCAUGGUUAACAUCAAGACCCAGCAAGCAGGCGAAUACUCCAAGUCCUGUGAGAUUAUCGAACCCAAGAACGAAACGAUUAAUACCCCUACUCGUCGCAUUACCCAUUCUAUUUACAUAUCCUCACAGUCGAAAGAUUUCGCCAGUGGUCCAUCUGCUACAAGGGUCGUGAACACCAACUCCUAAAAUUUGGGAAAGAUUAUCCAAAUGAAGGACAGUGAUAAGAGGCUCAUUGAAGAUGCACUUGCAAAUCCAAGCAACACAAAGAAAAAGUUUGGAGCCCCACACAAACACAGGUAUUUUUUUGGUGUCUUAACAAAUAUUUUGGACCCUUAUACCAGUUACGAUAGCAAAUAUUUAUGAUUAUCAAUUUAUACAUGAUUUCAUUCAAGUGAAUAGAUAGAGGGGUGUGAUUGUCGAAACCUGACUUCUUGAUUUCUUGUGUAAUUGAAUACCCCAUUAUAUUUAUGAUUGAUGCCUAGGAUAUGGUCAUUUAUUGCACAAAUAUUAUUGCUUAUGAUUUUCACUUAGAAUAAUGAAAUUCCUAAGUUGUAUACGAACACACAACGAAGUAGAGUGUUAAGCUGUUAUAAUGAGUCUCAUAUAUUAUGUUGUAGUAAUUAGUUUAAGAAGUAAUUAUUUUCAGUCAUGUGCAAUAAAAGUCCAAUAAAUAAAUAAUUUUCAUGAAAUUUUGAUCACUGUAUUACGUUUUUCUCAUGGGAUUUUAUUAUUGAAUUGUAUGGAUUUAUUGUUUUGCUUUGGAUCAAUGCUUUAUGAUGCACAUGUUUUCAUAUAUGAACGAGGGGUGAAUAGAGUAUUUCAGUCAAAUGCAUAAUAUUUUCAAUACGGAUGAAGUACAUUCGGAUACAACACCAAACAACACAUAUACAUGCCUCAAUUUGUGAUAUGUCAAUGAUGGAAAUAUAAUCAUUCAAAUUUGGAAUUUGUUUUGAAAUAUCAGAACAUAGAAUGUGUGAAUCAUUGCACCAAUUUAUAUGCACAUCAAUCUCCUUUGUAGGGUUCAAUCUAUACUCCGUUGGUAUAUUUGGCAAGAUCUCUACCACUCUUACAUGUAAUGCAUAGACCGUCAUGCAUGCAUCUCUACGCUUAAGCUCCAAAUAGAAAUGUAGAGAGCCGUAAUUUUUUAUUCGGCAACUCCUAAAAUUUGGGAAAGAUUAUCCAAAUGAAGGACAGUGAUAAGAGGCUCAUUGAAGAUGCACUUGCAAAUCCAAGCAACACAAAGAAAAAGUUUGGAGCCCCACACAAACACAGGUAUUUUUUUGGUGUCUUAACAAAUAUUUUGGACCCUUAUACCAGUUACGAUAGCAAAUAUUUAUGAUUAUCAAUUUAUACAUGAUUUCAUUCAAGUGAAUAGAUAGAGGGGUGUGAUUGUCGAAACCUGACUUCUUGAUUUCUUGUGUAAUUGAAUACCCCAUUAUAUUUAUGAUUGAUGCCUAGGAUAUGGUC
This 1824-nucleotide long non-coding RNA is filed under the name Olea europaea (common olive). RNAcentral describes it as "long non-coding RNA (OEUR_LNC012184)". The record is from RNAcentral. Lineage: Eukaryota; Viridiplantae; Streptophyta; Magnoliopsida; Lamiales; Oleaceae.